RNAcentral lists this ribosomal RNA (498 nucleotides) under uncultured bacterium. Its description in RNAcentral is "partial 16S ribosomal RNA". It matches the Rfam family "Bacterial small subunit ribosomal RNA", at positions 28 to 507 of the family's 1533-position model. The record is from RNAcentral.
GACGAACGCUGACGGCGUGCCUAAUACAUGCAAGUCGAACGAGAGCGACCGGUGCUUGCACUGGUCAAUCUAGUGGCGAACGGGUGAGUAACACGUGGGUAACCUGCCCAUCAGAGGGGGAUAACAUCCGGAAACGGAUGCUAAAACCGCAUAGGUCUUCGAGCCGCAUGGCUUGAAGAGGAAAAGAGGCGCAAGCUUCUGCUGAUGGAUGGACCCGCGGUGCAUUAGCUAGUUGGUGAGGUAACGGCUCACCAAGGCCGUGAUGCAUAGCCGACCUGAGAGGGUGAUCGGCCACAUUGGGACUGAGACACGGCCCAAACUCCUACGGGAGGCAGCAGUAGGGAAUCUUCCGCAAUGGACGCAAGUCUGACGGAGCAACGCCGCGUGAGUGAAGAAGGUUUUCGGAUCGUAAAACUCUGUUGUUAGAGAAGAACAAGUGCUAGAGUAACUGUUAGCGCCUUGACGGUAUCUAACCAGAAAGCCACGGCUAACUACGUG